This 328-nucleotide unclassified non-coding RNA is filed under the name soil metagenome. RNAcentral's name for it is "partial contains 5.8S ribosomal RNA, internal transcribed spacer 2, and large subunit ribosomal RNA". The stretch from base 1 to 120 matches the Rfam family "5.8S ribosomal RNA", at positions 35 to 154 of the family's 154-position model. The record is from RNAcentral.
GAUGAAGAACGUAGCGAAAUGCGAUAAGUAAUGUGAAUUGCAGAAUUCAGUGAAUCAUCGAAUCUUUGAACGCACAUUGCGCCCCCUGGUAUUCCGGGGGGCAUGCCUGUCCGAGCGUCAUUACAACCCUCAAGCUCAGCUUGGUGUUGGGCCCCGCCGCCCCGGCGGGCCCUAAAGUCAGUGGCGGUGCCGUCCGGCUCCGAGCGUAGUAAUUCUUCUCGCUCUGGAGGUCCGGUCGUGUGCUUGCCAGCAACCCCCAAUUUUUUUCAGGUUGACCUCGGAUCAGGUAGGGAUACCCGCUGAACUUAAGCAUAUCAUAAGCGGAGGA